UACAGAGGGUGCGAGCGUUAAUCGGAAUUACUGGGCGUAAAGCGCGCGUAGGCGGCUUUGCAAGUCGGGUGUGAAAUCCCCAGGCUUAACCUGGGAACUGCAUUCGAGACUGCAUUGCUAGAAUAUGGGAGAGGGAAGUGGAAUUUCCGGUGUAGCGGUGAAAUGCGUAGAUAUCGGAAGGAACAUCAGUGGCGAAAGCGACUUCCUGGACCAAUACUGACGCUCAUGUGCGAAAGCGUGGGGAGCAAACAGG
RNAcentral lists this ribosomal RNA (253 nucleotides) under uncultured bacterium. RNAcentral's name for it is "partial 16S ribosomal RNA". It matches the Rfam family "Bacterial small subunit ribosomal RNA", at positions 524 to 776 of the family's 1533-position model. The record is from RNAcentral.